UGGAUGAUGUGGUUUAAUUCGAUGCAACGCGAAAACCUUACCACCUUUGACAUGGCAGGAAUCCUGAAGAGAUUUGGGAGUGCUCGAAAGAGAACCUGCACACAGGUGCUGCAUGGCUGUCGUCAGCUCGUGUCGUGAGAUGUUGGGUUAAGUCCCGCAACGAGCGCAACCCUUGCCAUUAGUUGCUACGAAAGGGCACUCUAAUGGGACUGCCGGUGACAAACCGGAGGAAGGUGGGGAUGACGUCAAGUCCUCAUGGCCCUUAUAGGUGGGGCUACACACGUCAUACAAUGGCCGGUACAGAGGGUAGCCAACCCGCGAGGGGGAGCCAAUCCCACAAAGCCGGUCGUAGUCCGGAUCGCAGUCUGCAACUCGACUGCGUGAAGUCGGAAUCGCUAGUAAUCGCGGAUCAGCAUGUCGCGGUGAAUACGUUCCCGGGUCUU
RNAcentral lists this ribosomal RNA (443 nucleotides) under uncultured Allobrachymonas sp. Its description in RNAcentral is "bacterial SSU rRNA". It matches the Rfam family "Bacterial small subunit ribosomal RNA", at positions 933 to 1382 of the family's 1533-position model. Lineage: Bacteria; Pseudomonadati; Pseudomonadota; Betaproteobacteria; Burkholderiales; Comamonadaceae. The record is from RNAcentral.